Molecule: long non-coding RNA, 1514 nt
Organism: Salvia miltiorrhiza (redroot sage)
Lineage: Eukaryota; Viridiplantae; Streptophyta; Magnoliopsida; Lamiales; Lamiaceae
Exons: 2
Source: RefSeq, a predicted model, not a curated record
AAAUUAUGAGUAAAGUGCAUCAAUUCCCUUAUUUAUUUAAUAUGUUGGUGAGUGUUGUAUUUACUUUUUGCUUCCUUCGAAACUUUCAUUUUGGGUUUUAAAGAAGUAGAGUUGAAACAAAUUGUUGGUGCUGCCAACUAUGGAGUAUUUUGGGCCUCGAAAUACUAAGCCCAUGAACAAAAACCCAACUAUUAAUUACUUACAUAAUAAAAAUAUUAUAAAUAUUUAUUUUAAUCUCAUUUUUAGGGUUUGUGCGCCGCUACACACCUUAAAAAUCUGUAGAAGUUCUUUCACGCCUAUUUUCCCUACUCGUUCCUUUUCUCCCUCGUUCAAUUUCAGCCUUCUCCAUAUUUCCCCUUCUAUUCCAGCCUUUCUCAAAUUCACCUUCCCUCGUCUGUAUCUUCAAUUCCAGAUGGGAGUCAUGGGACGAUUCUUGUCAGUGUGUGUGUUUUUUUGGUAGAUUUGUGAAUAUCUUCACAAAGUGUUGCUUCCAAAAAAAAUUAUCUUCAUUUUUUCGCAUAUUAGUUUUUAAUUUUUUUGUGUUUAUGUUAAUAUUUUUGGUAGAUCUGUAAAUAUCUACACAAAAUGUUCUUAAAACAGAAGAUCUUUGUUUUUUUUUUUCGCAUAUUAGUUUUUCAUUUUUUUCUUCCUUUUUUAUUUUUUGUUUAUGUUAUCAUUUUGAUAGAUUUAUUAAUUUCUACACAAAUGGGUUCAUAAAAGAACAAUUUUUUUCUUGCGGGUUAGUUUUUUUAUACUGAGGAAGAUCUAUAUUUUUUUCGCUUAUUAGUGUUUUGUUUUUUAGUUUUUAAUUUGUUUUUAUAGUAUCAUUUUGGUAGAUCUAUGAAUAUUUACAUAAAUGGCUUCUCAAUCAUUUUGUUAGAUCUAUAUAUAUUUACGUAAAUGACUUCUAAAAAAGAUUUUUUUUUAUCAGAUUAGUUGAGGAAGAUCUUUAUUUUUUUCCAUCUUAGUUGGCCUCCUUGUUCUCUUGUAAAAUACCCGAACUUCUUCAUUUCUUCAUUUCUCUUGCCACUUAAGAGUGGAACUCAAGCCAAAAAGUGGAAUCAGAUUCGAAAGGCAAAACUUCCAUGCUCCAGAUUCAACUCUUCAUCUGUGUAGCUCCAGAUUCUUUUGCAGCAAAACUUCCAUGCUCCAGAUGCAACUCCAGAUUCAGAAAUAUUAUCUAUAAAAUAGAAAAAAUAUUGUAAUAAUUCGUUAGUAUUUGAGUUGUAAUUGAGACUAAUAGUGAAUAUGAAAAAAAACUACAGAAAACAAAAAUGAAAGAAUCACAUAAAAAUCAUAAAUAUAAAAAAAUACAGUAAAAAGAAUUCGAUCAAUCCAAAAUAGAUUAAAAGAAUUAGAACAAUGAGAGAGAAAGUUUGCAUAAAUCCAAAACAGAGAGAAAGUUGGCAUAGAAAAUAAUGGUCUGAAAUGAAUUGAUAUUUAUAGGCUGAGUUUUCAGCAAAUUGGCUCUAAGAUUGCCUGUUUUUAUGUUUCAAAUUUUAUUUUGGGCGGCA